Molecule: long non-coding RNA, 1253 nt
Filed under: Homo sapiens (human)
Lineage: Eukaryota; Metazoa; Chordata; Mammalia; Primates; Hominidae
Description: HSALNT0349004
Source: RNAcentral
AAUGAAUCCACCAGCAGAAAUUCCUGUACACAUCUUAUCAACAAAGAAUUUGAACCUCAAAGAGUGGCUCAAAGAGGUCAGGAGGCACCUUCAACACUUUUAUUGGAGAUCUCCUUGUCUAGAUCAUCAGGUUUGUCAGAUUCUCACUGUGUUACCUAGGCUGCAGUGCAGUGGUGCGAUCUCAACUCACUGCAACCUCUACCUCCUGGGUUCAAGCAAUUCUCCUGCCUCAGCCUCCCAAGUAGCUGGGAUUACAGGUGAGGAGACUGGUGUUAAGUAACUCGCCCAUCCAUGACCGCAUCAGUGGUUGAAAUGGGAUUGGAAUCUGGUCUUAAUCACUCUUCCAUAAUGCCUCCAUGGCAAGGGUGGCAGAGAGGAAGAAUUAUGCUGAGGAAGUAGAACUGACUAGAAGUCAUGAACAAUGCUUGGUGAUUAGAUUCUAGAAUGGACGAAUAAGGCUCUGCUUUGCUCCCAAGCUUCUGUGUCAGUAAUGGCUUCAUUCAUCUACACAGGGAACAGAGGAUGGAGAGGUGAUGUCUUCAGGCUAGGGCAUGUACAGGGUGACCAAAUCUGACCUUGUAUUGUGCAAACUCAGGACUUUCGUAGAGGAAAGGAGUCACCAUCCAGAGGGAUGCCAGAUAAAAAUGUACAAUGGGACUAAGCCAGGCAAACAGUGGCACAUGUUCACGUUAGACAUGUGGAAUCUGAUAUUUCUGUAAGAAAUACAGAAGAACAUGGGAAAAAUGGCAACAGAGGCCUAAAACUCUGCAGAAAUGGCUGAUCUUAUAAUUUGUGAACUGUUAUUUAUGGUUGUUGGUGGAGCCCAUGGUAGUGAAGGAGAUGGCUCAGGGAGACAACAUUAAAGGCGAUAAGGAGAAAAACUAAUGAUCAAAUUCUAGUGAAUGAAAGGGAAGUAAGGAUAGUAAGUAUAAUAAUAGAGUUUCAAAUUAACAUUUAAUUUUAAAAUUAAUUAUAUGCUACUACUGUUUAUUAUUUAACCCUUCCCUUCCAAGUUAAUUUCAUUUACACUAUUCAUGAGGCUACACAGUUUAGUAAAGGGUCCAUUUAAGCAGGAUGAAUUUAACUCACUAAUUUCAGAAUGAAAGCAAAAGCUCUCUGCAUCUAUGCUGAAUUAUUUGACAUAAAUAGCUGUCUUGCUACAGAAAGCAAAUAGAGUACACUCUCCACUAUAAUUAGAAUUAACAUCAGAUACUCCUAGAAUCUUUCUUUGGCAAUAAAAUUCUUUUGCCUCA